GUGGGGAAUAUUGGGCAAUGGGGGAAACCCUGACCCAGCAACGCCGCGUGAGGGAAGAAGGUUUUCGGAUUGUAAACCUCUGUCCUUGGUGACGAAGGAAGUGACGGUAGCCAAGGAGGAAGCCCCGGCUAACUACGUGCCAGCAGCCGCGGUAAUACGUAGGGGGCAAGCGUUGUCCGGAAUGACUGGGCGUAAAGGGCGUGUAGGCGGCCGAUUAAGUCUGGAGUGAAAGUCCUGCUUUCAAGGUGGGAAUUGCUUUGGAGACUGGUUGGCUUGAGUGCGGAAGAGGUAAGUGGAAUUCCCAGUGUAGCGGUGAAAUGCGUAGAGAUUGGGAGGAACACCAGUGGCGAAGGCGACUUACUGGGCCGUAACUGACGCUGAGGCGCGAAAGCGUGGGGAGCGAACAGGAUUAGAAACCCCUGUAGUCC
RNAcentral lists this ribosomal RNA (428 nucleotides) under uncultured bacterium. RNAcentral describes it as "partial 16S ribosomal RNA". It matches the Rfam family "Bacterial small subunit ribosomal RNA", at positions 354 to 796 of the family's 1533-position model. The record is from RNAcentral.